UGGGGAAUAUUGGACAAUGGGCGAAAGCCUGAUCCAGCCAUGCCGCGUGUGUGAAGAAGGUCUUCGGAUUGUAAAGCACUUUAAGUUGGGAGGAAGGGCAGUAAGCGAAUACCUUGCUGUUUUGACGUUACCGACAGAAUAAGCACCGGCUAACUCUGUGCCAGCAGCCGCGGUAAUACAGAGGGUGCAAGCGUUAAUCGGAUUUACUGAGCGUAAAGCGUGCGUAGGCGGCUAAUUGAGUCGGAUGUGAAAUCCCCGAGCUUAACUUGGGAAUUGCAUUCGAUACUGGUUAGCUAGAGUGUGGGAGAGGAUGGUAGAAUUCCAGGUGUAGCGGUGAAAUGCGUAGAGAUCUGGAGGAAUACCGAUGGCGAAGGCAGCCAUCUGGCCUAACACUGACGCUGAGGUACGAAAGCAUGGGGAGCAAACAGG
RNAcentral lists this ribosomal RNA (429 nucleotides) under Pseudomonadota bacterium. Its description in RNAcentral is "Proteobacteria bacterium partial 16S ribosomal RNA". It matches the Rfam family "Bacterial small subunit ribosomal RNA", at positions 355 to 776 of the family's 1533-position model. The record is from RNAcentral. Lineage: Bacteria; Pseudomonadati; Pseudomonadota.